This is a long non-coding RNA of Magnolia sinica, 418 nucleotides long. RefSeq lists it as uncharacterized. Lineage: Eukaryota; Viridiplantae; Streptophyta; Magnoliopsida; Magnoliales; Magnoliaceae. The transcript has 3 exons. The record is from RefSeq and is a predicted model, not a curated record.
UGCAUACGACAUACAAGGAGGGAGCGCAGAAUGCGGUGGCGGAGCGCGGCCUCGCGCCUUCGGUAGCAGUGAAACGGAGAUUGAAAGUUGUAGUAAGAUUCUGAUUUUGGAUAUAUGAGAUAUGGUUGCAAUAGAAAAGAUAAUGAAUGCAACAUUGGUCCUUCCUUCUCUUGAUCACAAUUCCUUUUGGACAGAUCUGAGUGAUUUUAAGGACCCCUUUUGAUUGGAAGCGCUUCAUAGAAGUCUUGAAAGAUGAUGUCGACAUAGUGGAGUUCCUCUCACAUUUAAGUGUAAAAAUGCUACAUAUUGCAGAUGGCUAUGAUAUUCUAGUUUGAGGAUAUUUGGAUUAUAGUCCAUCUACAGUUGGAAACCCAUCAAAUGGAUAAUUUGGAUAGGAACUGAGACCUGAUUAAACUAG